CAGCAGCCGCACGGUAAUACGAAGGGUGCAAGCGUUACUCGGAAUUACUGGGCGUAAAGCGUGCGUAGGUGGUGGUUUAAGUCCGUUGUGAAAGCCCUGGGCUCAACCUGGGAAUUGCAGUGGAUACUGGGUCACUAGAGUGUGGUAGAGGAUAGUGGAAUUUCCGGUGUAGCAGUGAAAUGCGUAGAGAUCGGAAGGAACAUCUGUGGCGAAGGCGACUAUCUGGGCCAACACUGACACUGAGGCACGAAAGCGUGGGGAGCAAACAGGAUUAGAGACCCCCGUAGUCCCUGUCUCUUAUACA
This 304-nucleotide ribosomal RNA is filed under the name uncultured bacterium. RNAcentral describes it as "partial 16S ribosomal RNA". It matches the Rfam family "Bacterial small subunit ribosomal RNA", at positions 509 to 808 of the family's 1533-position model. The record is from RNAcentral.